ACAGAUCAAGAACUCAUAAGUAUCAAUGGUUAGUGUGUUGUCAAUUUAUCCCAUUUCAGAUUGGCAAAUAAAGAGACGGUUUAAAUAAUACUCCCUCCGUCCGGAAUUACUUGUCAUCAAAAUGGAUGUGUCUAGAACUAAAAUAUAUCUAGAUACAUCCAUUUCAAUGACAAGUAUUUUCGGACGGAGGAAGUAGUAGAAUGAUAUGACAUUGUUCAUAGUUAAAACAUUGCAGAAUAUGACAUUGUGCUGUAGUGGGUAGGUUCACCACACCACUGGAUUACGGAUGAAGAACAGAAGCAUACAUGCAAUGCAAAAGAAGAUCACUUGCUCUGUAUAGUUUAAUUUACAUGGUAUGAAUAAGGAACUUGGUUGUACAACUGAAAACUUAAAUUGAGAAAGGACAAACUUUUGUUUAUGAACUACAUAAUAAACUUUAAAC
Molecule: long non-coding RNA, 442 nt
Filed under: Triticum aestivum (bread wheat)
Lineage: Eukaryota; Viridiplantae; Streptophyta; Magnoliopsida; Poales; Poaceae
Description: long non-coding RNA (TAES_LNC002684)
Rfam family: MIR1120/MIR1122 microRNA precursor family (bases 85-199)
Source: RNAcentral